AGGAUUCCCCUAGUAACUGCGAGUGAAGCGGGAAAAGCUCAAAUUUAAAAUCUGGCAGUCUCUGGCUGUCCGAGUUGUAAUCUAGAGAAGUAAUGCCCGUGCUGGACCGUGUAUAAGUCUCCUGGGAUGGGGCGUCAUAGAGGGUGAGAAUCCCGUCUUUGACACGGACUACCAGUGCAUUGUGGUAUGCUCUCAAAGAGUCGAGUUGUUUGGGAAUGCAGCUCAAAAUGGGUGGUAAAUUCCAUCUAAAGCUAAAUAUUGGCGAGAGACCGAUAGCGAACAAGUACCGUGAGGGAAAGAUGAAAAGAACUUUGGAAAGAGAGUUAAACAGUACGUGAAAUUGCUGAAAGGGAAACGCUUGAAGUCAGUCGCGUUGGCCGGGAAUCAGCCUUGCUUUUGCAUGGUGUACUUUCUGGUUGACGGGUCAGCAUCAAUUUUGACCGCUGGAAAAAGGCCUGGGGAAUGUGGCAGCUUCGGCUGUGUUAUAGCCCCUAGUCACAUACAGUGGUUGGGAUUGAGGAACUCAGCACGCCGCAAGGCCGGGUUUCGACCACGUUCGUGCUUAGGAUGCUGGCAUAAUGGCUUUAAGCGACCCGUCUUGAAACACGGACCAAGGAGUCUAACAUGCCUGCGAGUAUUUGGGUGGAAAACCCAAGUGCGUAAUGAAAGUGAAAGUUGAGAUCCCUGUCGUGGGGAGCAUCGACGCCCGGACCAGAACUUUUGGGAUGGAUCCGCGGUGGAGCAUGUAUGUUGGGACCCGAAAGAUGGUGAACUAUGCCUGAAUAGGGUGAAGCCAGAGGAAACUCUGGUGGAGGCUCGUAGCGAUUCUGACGUGCAAAUCGAUCGUCAAAUUUGGGUAUAGGGGCGAAA
Molecule: ribosomal RNA, 870 nt
Filed under: Agaricus sp. ZRL2011156
Lineage: Eukaryota; Fungi; Basidiomycota; Agaricomycetes; Agaricales; Agaricaceae
Description: eukaryotic LSU rRNA
Rfam family: Eukaryotic large subunit ribosomal RNA
Source: RNAcentral